RNAcentral lists this long non-coding RNA (217 nucleotides) under Homo sapiens (human). RNAcentral describes it as "HSALNT0302656". Lineage: Eukaryota; Metazoa; Chordata; Mammalia; Primates; Hominidae. The record is from RNAcentral.
AAAAGCUCCCCCACUGAGUACCUUGUGAACCCCCACUCCUGCCCGCCAGAGAACAACCCCCCUUUUUCCUUUACCUACCCAAAUCCUAUAAAACGGCCCCACCCCUCUCUCCCUUCGCUGACUCUCUUUUUGGACUCAGCCCGCCUGCACCCAGGUGAAAUAAACAGCCAUGUUGCUCACACAAAGCCUGUUUGGUGGUCUCUUCACACGGACACGC